Osmerus eperlanus (European smelt) is the source of this 857-nucleotide long non-coding RNA. RefSeq lists it as uncharacterized. The transcript has 3 exons. The record is from RefSeq and is a predicted model, not a curated record. Lineage: Eukaryota; Metazoa; Chordata; Actinopteri; Osmeriformes; Osmeridae.
UAUCAGAGAGAAGAUUGUGUCACCACAACUGACAACGGAUCAAACUUUCUGAAAGCCUUCAGAGUUUAUGGACAGAAUGGCGAGAACAACAAUCCUGAACCUGUAGGAGAGGGUGAUGGAGAAGAGGAUGAUGGUGGACAAAAUGAUGAAAAAGAGGAAAACGUUGAGGGUGUUGAAUUUGUUGAUGCCGUAGCCGUGUUGAAAGAAGAUGACUGCUUGGAAUACCAGCUACCCUAGCACCAUCGCUGCGCCUGCCACCUCCUCAAUUUAGUGUCCACAGUUGAUGCUUCAAAAGCAGAGGUGAACCCAUUGUACAAGCGCCUUGUGACAUCCACAUUUGCCAAAUGCUCUAGCCUGUGGAACAAAAGUUCAAGAUCAACCACUGCAUCUGAAGUAAUGGAAGACCACUGCAAACUCCAACUCGUAAGGCCUGUUGCUACAAGGUGGAAUUCACUCUUCUCAGCCGUAGAAAGAAUAGUGAGAAUAACAAGAGAACAAGGUGAAGGAGCCCUUGCAGCUGUCUGCAGUGAACUAGAUACACCCAAGUUUACUCCAGUGGAACUUGCUUUUCUGGCAGAAUAUGCGAAGACAAUGAGCCCAGUUGCAAAGGCACUUGAUCUUCUUCAGGGAGAAACCAGUGUGCAGAUGGGAUGGUUGGUCCCCACCAUAACUCUACUAAGGACCAAGCUCCAGCACCUUCACAUUGCCUCCAAGUUCUGUGAGCCCUUGAUUGCUGCACUUCUUUCAGGCCUUGAAAAACGCUUCGGAGAGAUGCUGGCAGAUCCAGAGCUGAUAGCCGCAGCCAUUUUAGUUCCCAAAUUUAAGACCUGCUGGACAAGUGACGAACAUAUCCUCAA